Long non-coding RNA from Pipra filicauda (Wire-tailed manakin), 2154 nucleotides. RefSeq lists it as uncharacterized. The transcript is spliced from 3 exons. The record is from RefSeq and is a predicted model, not a curated record. Lineage: Eukaryota; Metazoa; Chordata; Aves; Passeriformes; Pipridae.
UUUUCCUCAGGGAAAAAGGUUUGUUACAAUGUUUUGACUAAUUGUCAACAAAGUGCUGCAAAUGUUUGAAGGGAUUUACAUUCAGACUGUUCUGUCCUUCCCUUUCAGCUUUGUCACAAGCCUUGGAAGGAUGAAUCUGGACCAGGAGCUUUGGAUGGUUUGGGAAGGAAAAAAAAGAACAACAUAAGGAUAUUCCUGAUGGGAAUUGGCCCAAGAGGUCCCUGUCAGGGCUUUGGCCACCCCCAAACCCCACAGGACUUCUCGUGGGUUCCCUUGGCAACAGCGAAGCCAACACAGGGAUAAGAGCCUGGGAACACAAAGGCAGCACUGACACCCUUCCCCUCAGCAGCCAAGGACGAGAGCUGGUGACAGUGACCUUGGGACAGGCCAGCUCGAUGGGAAGGUGUCCCCAGCCAACCUUUCAACGCCCCAGGCACAGGCUGGAUCCCAGAUCCUACAACACCUCAGAGCAAGGGCUCUUCGUCAUCUUUAAUCCACGAGGCACAUCAGCACUUUGGUUUGUGAUUUCCCAGUGGGAAUGAAAGCUGGACACACAUGGGAAGCACAUCUAUGGUAAGUGAUAAUCUAAUUUCCUAUUGAAGGAGCAGCAGGACCAGCCAUGGGCUGGACUCUUUCUGUGGAGAACAUUAAAUUCUGGGCAACUUUCAGCGGAAAACUUUCCCCCAUGAGGCCCUGACUGACUGCUUGAAAUCCCACUGCUCCCUCUUGUCCUGGCACUUGUUAUCUGGGAGAAGAGACUGAUCCCACCCAGCUCCACCCUCCUGGGAGCUUUAAUAGGGAUGGGUUUGGCCCCAAGAGAGGUUUGGCCAAGCCAUGGGUGAGGUUUGGUGCCACACAGAGCCCCAGACCAGCACCACCGACCCUGCCCAGAGGAACCAGGCCUGGCACGGUGGGAUGAACCCUUCAGGGAAAGGUUUAGGGCUGGAGGAACUGCUGUUCCACAUCAGGCAACAGCACCAGCUCUGACAGGGGCAGAGAGAAGCCUGUCCAUCAGGGAAGGACACGACACCCUGGUGCCAUGGGAUGUUUUCUCCAAGGGAAGGGCUGGAAUGCUGCCACGGCCCCGGGGGCAGAUCUGUUCCAAGCCUGGAGAUUUGUUUAGUGCUCCCUCAUGCCAGGAGUCCUGGAGUGCAAGGUCUCUGACACCACUCCUGCGAGAAAUAUUCCCUGCAGGAAGUUCGAUUUCCUAAAAAUCCAGUGCUGUGAUGAGGUGUCCACAUGCUCAGGGCACUUUGUGCUGCUGCCUUUAACCCGGGACAAAACCAGCCUGUAACCUCUCCCUGACAUGGAGACAUUCAUGGAGCUGGUUUUACAGGCCAGUCCAAGAGCUUUCCUGACAUUUUUGUAUUUUGCUCAUUGCUGAGCAGCAGGAGCUCUGGCUUCCUGGGAGGGAGGGGGAGAAAGGAAACAUUUGUUCUCCACUUGGUUUGGAUCCAGGGUUCAGACCUUCCCUCAUGUUCCAAACAUUGUCCUGUGUCUCUCUCCUCACUUUCCGUGCUGAUCCUCUCUGGCCACACAGACUUUACUAUGGCUGCUGCCACAGGACAGAAACAGGGAGCUGGUGGAUGAGAGCCUGGAUUUUAAAUCAUGGAAUCACAGACUGGCUUGGGCUGGAAGGAGCUUAGAGCUCAUCUCAUUCCACCCCCUGCCAUGGGCAGGGACACCUUCCACUAGCCCAGGCUGCUCCAACCCCCAUCCAAACUCGGAUUCUAUGAGGAUUGGCCAUCAUUCCCUGCCCUUUGGCAGGGGGUUGGAACUGGAUGAGCUUUAAGGUCUCUUCCAACCCAGACCUCCUGGGAUUCCAUGGUUUUAAUUCCACCUCUGAAGAUGUGCCCCUCUUGGAGAGACUCUUCUGUUACUUUUCUCCUCUUGGAAGGUAAACAGCAUUUCAUUACACGAUUAAUAAACCCGUGGACAAACCAACGUUAUUGCAACAAAAAUAAAUAAAAAUUUAACUGAAUUUCAGGUUGUAGAAAUGGAUGGAUUGCACUGGCAAGGAUUUGCCCCCGGUGUCCGUAAGCCAAGGGUCCUUUGAAGGCCUGGGUCGUUUCCCAGGCUGUGGAGGUGUCAUAGCUGGCUGGGCCGGCGGGUUAUCCCGGGAAUGCUCCUGCUCCUGGGCUCGGGGAGCGAGGC